Molecule: ribosomal RNA, 118 nt
Organism: Cricetulus griseus (Chinese hamster)
Lineage: Eukaryota; Metazoa; Chordata; Mammalia; Rodentia; Cricetidae
Source: Ensembl
UAUUCUGUCCAUACCACCCUGAAGGCGCCUGAUCUCAUCUUGUCUCAGAAGCUAAGCAGGGUUGGGCCUGGUAGGACUUGGACGUGAGACAGCCUGGGAAUACCGGGUACAAAAAUAG